AACAAAACAAUAAUACACUAUACUCCCUCACAUUUAAUUAAUUAUUUUAUUUGUAAGAGAAGAGAUAUGGAGAAUAAUGGAAAGGGCAAAGUAGGCACAUCAAACAAUGGAAGUGUGUUUCCAAAGAAAGAUAAGAAGUCCGUGAAGAAAAUGGCUAUUGAAAAGAUAGGUAAAACUGUGGUGUCCACUUUCAAGAAUGAUAAGAAGAAGAUUAACC
This 217-nucleotide long non-coding RNA is filed under the name Solanum tuberosum (potato). RNAcentral's name for it is "long non-coding RNA (STUB_LNC005017)". The record is from RNAcentral. Lineage: Eukaryota; Viridiplantae; Streptophyta; Magnoliopsida; Solanales; Solanaceae.